CCACACUGGGACUGAGACACGGCCCAGACUCCUACGGGAGGCAGCAGUAGGGAAUCUUCCGCAAUGGACGAAAGUCUGACGGAGCAACGCCGCGUGAGUGAUGAAGGGUUUCGGCUCGUAAAACUCUGUUGUUAAGGAAGAAUACUUGAGGUAGUAACUGGCCUUGAGAUGACGGUACCGAAUGAAUAAGCCACGGCUAACUACGUGCCAGCAGCCGCGGUAAUACGUAGGUGGCAAGCGUUAUCCGGAUUUACUGGGUGUAAAGGGCGUGUAGGCGGGACUGCAAGUCAGAUGUGAAAACUAUGGGCUCAACCCAUAGCCUGCAUUUGAAACUGUAGUUCUUGAGUGCUGGAGAGGCAAUCGGAAUUCCGUGUGUAGCGGUGAAAUGCAUAGAUAUACGGAGGAACACCAGUGGCGAAGGCGGAUUGCUGGACAGU
RNAcentral lists this ribosomal RNA (437 nucleotides) under uncultured bacterium. RNAcentral describes it as "bacterial SSU rRNA". It matches the Rfam family "Bacterial small subunit ribosomal RNA", at positions 308 to 737 of the family's 1533-position model. The record is from RNAcentral.